AUCCUUUUGCCUCGCUUCCUGUGGCGUCAGUGUGGAAGCUGCUGGUCCGGCAGCAACAGCUACAGACCAGAGGAGAAACGGGAGAUCACAGCAUCUGCUCUUUCUGGGACCUCUUCCAGUUCUGCCUCCGAUACAGCGCCCCACUUCAGGAGGAUAUCGAAAAGUCAUGUCUGCAUUUGUGUCAUUUCUUAGUCCAAUUGCCUGAGUUUCUUAAAGUAGUCCACACUAUCUGGGCAGAUGAGUGAGGUAAAGUGAAACAGCUAAGGAGAAAUGGGAAGCAGCCAAACAGUGACAAGCACUGGCUCUGAGCCCUCUGGCUCGAUGCGGGAAAGCAAUAAAGGUGGCGUGCAGCUGAGCUAACAGCUGACAGAAACAGGAACCGAUCCUUGGCCAAGGUCAGGAAACAGAUCAUGCACAUAUGCACCCACAUCCACACGGGGUUGGAGUGCAACAGCAAAACGGGGUCAAACAACACCAGGGAAUUAUGCUGCUGUGACCCGGCACUCAACACGGUUCUCAGACUGAAUGGACCCGGAGCAGAAGGACAGCACUGUGUCUGUGUGAUACAACGUAGAAAGUGGGCCAAAAAAAACAAGGUGCCGCCAUCUGUUUCGACCAGUUGCAGAGAGGGCACAUGAAGACGAGAAAAACAGAGCGAACAGUAUGAGGGAUGUAGAGGAUACCGAUGUUGUCGAUGGUGACGAAGGUGGAGAAGUCGGGCGACACGUGGAUCUUCUUGAGGGCGCUUCCUGUCGGAUAAAACGUCUGCAGGGAUUCACCUCUCGCCACGUUCC
Long non-coding RNA from Gambusia affinis (western mosquitofish), 794 nucleotides. RefSeq lists it as uncharacterized. Lineage: Eukaryota; Metazoa; Chordata; Actinopteri; Cyprinodontiformes; Poeciliidae. The record is from RefSeq and is a predicted model, not a curated record. The transcript is spliced from 3 exons.